RNAcentral lists this ribosomal RNA (139 nucleotides) under uncultured bacterium. RNAcentral's name for it is "partial 16S ribosomal RNA". It matches the Rfam family "Bacterial small subunit ribosomal RNA", at positions 372 to 506 of the family's 1533-position model. The record is from RNAcentral.
UGGGCGCAAGCCUGAUCCAGCCAUGCCGCGUGUGUGAAGAAGGUCUUCGGAUUGUAAAGCACUUUAAGUUGGGAGGAAGGUUAGUAACCGAAUUCGUGGCUGAGGUGGAGUACCGACAGAAUAAGCACCGUAACUUCGG